CAAGGAUGUGCUCAGUGCCAACGCCCGGAGCUGCUCAGCCUGGGAUGUGGUGGGGCACAUCUUCAGUGAGUUCAGCCGCACCACGGGAAGAAGGGUAAGGACAGUGGGCAGCAUCUUCCUUUGGAAGACCCGUGCUGCUCAGAGGCUGGCACAGAAGCACCGGUGGGGCCACACCUGAGCCUCCUGAGAGGCUCCUCAGAACUAAGAGUAACCAGCGUUCCAACAACACUGUUGUGCAGGCAGCUGGAGACCUUUCUGCCCAGGAAGCCCAGGAAGAAGGAGCUCUCCAAGAGCUCUGUAUGGACAUCCUGGAGUCGCUGGAUGUCUCUGUGAGCGGGAUGACCAAAGUAAGUCACAAUCUGACCUGCUGCCACUCCUUGCCUUCACACCACGUGUUCCUCAUCCCGUUCCAACACCCCCGGUCUCUCCUCCAACAUGCUCUAAAACACACAAGACUCAGGGAAAUUCACAGAGUCCUCUUCAUCUCUGAGCGGAGGCAGGAACGCUGACACAAUGCUCAACCGCCUCGUUCCCUACAGCUCCUGUGGCCACGGCUGCUGCUGUACGUGGUGCCAGCCCAGUACACCGGCAUGCUGAUCCCGGUCUCCCGCUGUGUCCAAGCGUUGGCUGAGAGAGGGGACCUGAUGGUGCGGGAGGUGGAAGAACUGGAUCCCCAUUUCCUCAGCUCCAUGUUUCAAGGCCCACUGCUGACUCCCCAGACACUGCUGGCACGCCUGCUGGUGGUGGCAGGGAGCCCUUUUGCAGGCAGCGAACUCCAAGCCGCUGCCUUGCUGCUGAUGCAAAACCUCCACAGCAGGAUCCACAGAGCUGUGGGGGCCAUGUGGGCCGCUGAGAUCCCCCUGCUGCUGCAGUGCCUCCAAGGUAAAGUGCUGGCGGGGAGGGAGAGGUGGAGGCAGGGAAGGGGAGGGAGUGAAAAUGGAGCUCUGCAGCGUGGCAGAGGGGAAGCAUUGCCUGCAGCCCAGUACUUGCUCUGCUGCUGUUCCCAUUCCAGGGAGACAGCACUGAGGUUCGGGGUCCUUUCCCCCCGGGGAU
RNAcentral lists this long non-coding RNA (1053 nucleotides) under Gallus gallus (chicken). RNAcentral describes it as "lncRNA (ENSGALG00010003054.1)". The record is from RNAcentral. Lineage: Eukaryota; Metazoa; Chordata; Aves; Galliformes; Phasianidae.